This is a long non-coding RNA of Equus caballus (horse), 616 nucleotides long. RefSeq lists it as uncharacterized. The record is from RefSeq and is a predicted model, not a curated record. Lineage: Eukaryota; Metazoa; Chordata; Mammalia; Perissodactyla; Equidae.
AACAUCUCGUUCGCUUUCCUACCACAAAUUGGGUUGUGCCAAAACCUUCCUAGUUUCCCCUGAAUUAAGAGGCACGUCCUGGGAAUCCAAAGCAUCCACAUGCUGCUAUUUCUGAAACAAGAAUUUCAGAAACAGGUGCACCAUCAUGGAUUAAGGAUAUACCUCAUUCCUGUGGGACACGACUAGGAGGGAAAUGCAGAAGCUGGCUCCCUCCUCUCCAGUUCUAUAGAAGACAGAAUAUGAGCAAACAUGCGGAAUUGCUCAGAUCCCCACAAGACCCAGAUAUGUAAACUGAGUUUCGCAGGAUGUCAUGCCUUGUCUCUAUAAUGCUCUUGUCCCUAUUUCUCUUGCUCUGCUUUACCGAUCACUCUAUUUUCCUCUCUGUUAGUAUUCAACUAACCAAUUGAGUCUACUAGAAACGUAAACAUUAAAGGUUGUCUGAGAGCAUAUAUCAUUUGUUUUCAAUGUCUCUUUCUUUUCAUUUCUACUUUCUAGGAAAGGCCAUUAAAAAAAUCGUACAUGGAACUUUUCCUCUUAUCCUGUAUCUUCCUGUCUCUACCUGAUUCUACAUAUUGGAGAAGCCUACAUUUCAUUUUUUAAGAAACAACAUUUUUCU